AGUUUCUUGUUCCUCUUUAGUCUCUUCCUCGGCUGUGCUCUCAACCGUCGGACGCAUUUGGCUUCAGCGCCGACCUCCAGCGGCUGUACGGCGCCAUCGUUGCUCACAGAGGCGCACGAAAACGCAAAUGGCCUGAAGAGACCGGCGCCGAACAGAACCAGCCUUCAACAGAAGCAGCCGCCCAGACGUUAACUCCAGCAGAUACUCGAUCCGUAGGAGAGGGGCAAACGAUGAGCGACGGGAAUCAAACCUCCAGGGAGGAGGAUGAACCAAACGACAGGAGGAACAGCAGCAGCAGAGCGGCACAGACCAAGUCUGCACCCGUCACAGCCCGCCCUGCGGAGCGACCGGCCUCCAAACCAAAGAAGAAGAAGGUGGGGCUCUUCAGAUGACCCAAACAUCAGAGCGGCUUCCUGUUUUAAAGCUUUAACUGCGGCGGACUGUUUUAGACUCUGAGUUUUAAUGUUUUAGAUUCAAUUGUUGAAGUUUUAAAUCCAAACCCAUUCAGACUGUUUUAAACCUUCAGCUCUAUCAUAGAAUUUCUGUUAAAUAAACUUGGUUUUAAAC
Long non-coding RNA from Cyprinodon variegatus (sheepshead minnow), 567 nucleotides. RefSeq lists it as uncharacterized. The transcript is spliced from 3 exons. The record is from RefSeq and is a predicted model, not a curated record. NCBI's taxonomy places the organism in Eukaryota, Metazoa, Chordata, Actinopteri, Cyprinodontiformes, Cyprinodontidae.